Thunnus maccoyii (southern bluefin tuna) is the source of this 4207-nucleotide long non-coding RNA. RefSeq lists it as uncharacterized. The transcript is spliced from 7 exons. NCBI's taxonomy places the organism in Eukaryota, Metazoa, Chordata, Actinopteri, Scombriformes, Scombridae. The record is from RefSeq and is a predicted model, not a curated record.
AGGAGCCCCAUCCAUCUAUCACACGUGUAGACAAAGGGGGACUCCACAACACAAAGCUAGACGUGCCCUCUCAAACUUUUUCCACGACGCACGGCGACACGCACAGCGCAAGGCACCCCCAGGUGGGAUUUUAACACCAGAUUAACCACCAAAGCGUGUUCUCUUGCGGGAGGUUAAGGAAAUGAAAAUAUGUGGAAAACACAUGGAAGAUGUACAGAGUCACCUAUCAAGAGGCUUUUAGGAUUAACAGACAGUGCACUUUUCUUUUGGAGAAGGUGAAGACUCAUCUCGUAAGGAUUUAAACUUCAGCAGCAGCAGUGCCAGGAGGGAUGCGUUUUAGGCACACUUGGAAAUCUAAAACUCAUGGAGACACUUUGGGGAUUAUAAAAAUGUGCAGUAUGUCUCUCCACAAGACGUUUCUCAGCCCAAAGUCACUGGGAUAGCAGGAUAUUGCAUUUUUGAUCCUCCACGGCCCUCCUCAUGGGGAGUGCGUGAGUGGAGAGGUCUGGGAGAUCACGACCUUAAUUCUCUCCAAGACAGAUGGUUUAAUUAACACUGGAGGAAUCCUCACUGACUCCACAAUGGGAAUGUGCAGGGGAAUUGGAUAGCUAAGGUCCAUCCAGCCAUUUAGCAGACUGUAAAGCUGACAGACGAUGCCCAUGAAUGAUGAAUGAUGACUGGAGGUCUGUCUAGUGCCAACAGAAUGCAUAAUACAGCAUAGAUACAGUGAUUCCAGUCCUCCCCACCAGAAACAUGGUGCAGUUACUGUAUCAUAUCAUUGGCAGAUCUACUCUCCACAGAAAAGCACAACCACUUAAAGUGGAAAUCCACCCCAAAACAGUAUUCAGGCCCCCUUCUCUGUAGUCCACAUUGCAAGAAGACCACCUCACAGGGAUUUUCCCCUUCACCAGGUGUGGCAAAGUGAGAGUCAGAAAGAUCACCUAGACAGACAGUCUAGACAGGACCGCCAGGAUCAAACAUGCGGAGGAUGGAGUAGAAAGAUCAAGAUGAAGAGAAGAACAUGCUUGAUGCAUGUAUAUUUGUGACAUGUAAGGUAACAUCUUAUUGUUUGUCAUCUCCAUUGUCAUAUAACUUCCUCAGUUGAAACUGAAAUAUUUAACUUUCAAUAUAUUAACAACAUCUGGUGGAUCUGGAGCCCAACACAGUGUCUACACAGGCUGUGUAGUGAAAGCAGCACGAUAGCGGAGCAGCAGCUGCAGCUCCCACAUCACCCACGUUUUGGUAGCAAUCAGACCCCAACACACAACCACUAUACAGUAGUUACUUGUGUAAAAUGGAAGAGAACAGACUUGAAGUGCAAAAAUACGGACUGUGAAGAAGUUUGAAAAUGCUGCUUUGUGUGUGCAAAUCAUGAUAACUCUUGUUGGAAAUUUUGUAAAUAUAUUAUCAAAAAUAUGAGUUUGUAUGUAUAGCUCUAUAAUGGCAAUGGUAUUUGCAUGAUACAAGAACACCACCAUGUGUUUUACUAUGUGUCUGUAUGGUAGAAAAAAGCCUUUUUUGUUCAUGUUCACUGUUACAUGAGAAGAUGUUGCUCUUUGCAGUCUACAUUUUGUUCCAGACUGCUGUACAUGCUUUUCUUCAAGGGAUCUUGAUUUUUGCUAAUGCUUUUCAUGUAUGUAGAUUUGAAAAAUGCGGUCAGAACAAUGUUUCACAUCUAAGGAUUCACAUUGUGACACAGCUUUGAUAACCCUAGUGUCUGGUACAAUAACAUAUUCAUGUACUGUACUGUAUGUGCACGGUAUCUGUUAAGAAGUAACGAUCACAAUUUGGUCGCAGGGGAAGAAAGACAGCAUAAAGGACAUGUACUCAUACAAUAUGUAAAGCUCUGUGGAGAAAUAUGUCCAGACUGUAGGGCUCUCAUGUGACAAUAUAUGUACAACGAUUCAUUUUUAUCAUCGCAGCAUAGAUUAUUAAUGAAUAUUGUAUUGUUCUGUGAAAAAUCUAGGUAAUAUAAUCUUGUAUAAAAAAAUUUAAUGGUUACUCAACAGACUCAUGGAAAUGUGGGAUUACACUUGUCAUAUGAGAAUCUACCAGCAGUGUAGGAAAGGUGCAGUGUACAGAGUAUCUCUUUCUCUUCAACAUCAAGAGAAGAAGAAAAUGUCUUUCUCUUCCACAUGUGUGCUUUAAAGCCUUCUAAGUAGCUUAGAGAUGAGUGGCUGGCUGCAUGGUGCUGGAGUAAUGAUGGCUGCAGAUGUAUACUGUCUUUCUUCUACCCAGACAGUCUGACUUUGGCUCUUGAAAAAGCACCGUAUUAUCGAUAGAAUGGUGGUUUAAUGACCCAAUUUACACCUGGCAUUAAAGUAUCUGUAUUUGGCAGAUGUGUGUGGACUCGAGUCAUGAAUCUGGUGACUUCAGACUUGACUUGACAGAAUCAGAAGACUGCAACUAGACUUUGAUUUAAAAACCAGUGACUCUUGACUUGGACAUUAGCUUUUUAUGGUAUGUUUUUGUAGUUUAAUAAGACCAAGAGAGCAUAGACUAACUCUAUUGAAAAAAGUUCUAGUUGCUUCACAUCAAUUUCACUUGUUGAAUCUCUCAGUUAAAACUUCAUUUAUUGAACAGCUGAAUAAUUUUGAAUCAGAGCCUCCAGUAUUUAGAGCAAGCCAUCGUUGCCCAUCAUCAUUUCAUCUGUUACUCAUCUCUUCAUCAGGUUUUAUAUGAGUUUUGAUCAUUAAGUACGCUGCCACUCAAAAAUGAAGUGCUUCUACACUCUCUGCCAAGAUCUCAGUUAUUUGAGUUAUUUUUAACUUUUGUUAAAAAUGUUCAAAUAUGAAGACAAAUAGAUUCAAUAAGAGAUUAAAAACUAGAUGAUUAAACAAUAUCAAACCCUAGUCUCUGGAGUGAUAUCAAGGCACACCAGAAAAUGUUGCUUUUAAAUGUUUUAAAAUGUCUUUAAAGUUAUAAAUACACUUUCGAAAAGCAUUUAUUAUUUCAGUAAAUUUACUAUAAACCUGUAACUGUUAAGUUAAAAAUUCUAAAUGGCAUUCAAUUUGAUGAUGGUCGCAUAAUGAAAUAAUUGUUUAGGACUCAAACUACAAGUUCUAGGACUUGAACAUGACUUGACACUUGUUGGAAACAUUUGAUUAGGAACUUCUUAGCUAAGAUUUGAGACUUACUUGUGACUGGCAAAACAACGACUUUGUCCCACCUCUAUCUGGAUAAUCUAUCAGGUUAAAACACAUACAGAAAGCAUUGUGAUUGGAGAGUGAUUAGGUUGGCCAAAACACACCUGGGGGAGGUUCUAUUUUUAAAGAUUUUUUUUCUGUACAUUUGUUCAUGACCUUUCCCUGAUCUUAACCAAACAUUAAGUUAUCUAAUGUUAACUAUACCAAAAUACAAUUGCCAUAGCCACAGUAUUUCCCUCACUUUAAGCAUAUUGUGGAUGCCAUUUGCAGAUAUUAUAGAAAACGAGGAUUUUUAAAACCUUGGUACUGAAUAUAAAAUUAUGUUGGCAUUGAAGGUAACCCAGGGUUUUUCAGAAUUGUCCAAUUUUGACAUCCUUGUCUGAAAAUACUGUUGGCAGAUUUACAUACUGUAUUUGGUUACUGUAUUUGGUUACCUCUUUUGAAUAUAUUGGAAUAGCCCAGAUAAUGUGAGAUGACCUGACAUAAUUGAACCUUCAGACCUUUAAACUUUCAAACCAGCCAUAUGAUAUUUGUCAUAUACAGUAAGAAAAUGGUUUUUCAACAAAAUACCAGUGCGAAGUACCAAAUAUUAGAGCCGGGAUAGCCCUAAAAAACUCCUGCAGGGAUCAGUUUUUAGGCCCCCCUAUCUGCCUGCUUCCAUCUUUGUCUGUGGUUACUAACCCCAGUUACAGUGGUUAGACAGGGCCUCCCUAUGUCUUACAUGAACAGUUUAUCACACUUCCUUUCCCUCUGCCCUGGGCCCCCAGUCAGUCUGUCAGACAGGAAAAUCAAAGACUUUGGGACAUACCAUUACAGUGCAAAUGGUAUAUUGCACUGUACAGCACAUGCUGAUGAUAAAUAACCUAAAAGUCUCACAAGUAAAUAAAAAACAGGAAGUGGAUCUGAGCCGGUUUUCUUUAACAGCCUUCACAAGUGGACAUAGACUGUUUGAAUUACUCAUUGCAUUGACUGAGGGUUAGUCAAAAUGAUGCUAUACAUAUUGAAUGGUAUGGAAUUGAUUGGCAAUUUGAUGUCUGUGAAUGCUAUUUUGUUGGAACUGA